This 388-nucleotide ribosomal RNA is filed under the name uncultured bacterium. RNAcentral's name for it is "bacterial SSU rRNA". It matches the Rfam family "Bacterial small subunit ribosomal RNA", at positions 8 to 425 of the family's 1533-position model. The record is from RNAcentral.
AGAGUUUGAUCCUGGCUCAGAGCGAACGCUGGCGGCAGGCCUAACACAUGCAAGUCGAGCGCCCCGCAAGGGGAGCGGCAGACGGGAGAGUAACACGUGGGAACGUACCCUUCAGUUCGGAACAACUCAGGGAAACUUGGGCUAAUACCGAAUACGUCCGUAAGGAGAAAGAUUUAUCGCUGAAGGAUCGGCCCGCGUCUGAUUAGCUUGUUGGUGAGGUAACGGCUCACCAAGGCUACGAUCAGUAGCUGGUCUGAGAGGAUGAUCAGCCUCACUGGGACUGAGACACGGCCCAGACUCCUACGGGAGGCAGCAGUGGGGAAUAUUGGACAAAUGGGCGCAAGCCUGAUCCAGCCAUGCCGCGUGGAUGAUGAAGGCCUUAGGGUUG